CUCUUUUUCAAAGAAGCCAACACCUAAGUUCUCUUCAAACUUCUCUCUUUCUCUCUCCCUCUUCCUCUUCUUCAUAAGUUUAGGGAAGGUACUAACCCUAGCAUAACAUAUUUCUCCAUAGAUCCCUUUUCUAUAUCCCAUCAAAUCUAGGAGAGGUUCUAAUCCUAAUGCCGCUAUCCUUUCUCUGUUACAUAUCCGCUUCCAUCAAUUUUUCUUCCUUGGAGUUCCUGUAUCAAGCCUUCCAGCCAUCCUGUCGCUGUCUACAUGGAGGAAGACGAAGGAUUCAAGGAGAUACAUCUACCAUCGGGUGCAGCA
This 315-nucleotide long non-coding RNA is filed under the name Elaeis guineensis (African oil palm). RNAcentral's name for it is "long non-coding RNA (EGUI_LNC007646)". The record is from RNAcentral. Lineage: Eukaryota; Viridiplantae; Streptophyta; Magnoliopsida; Arecales; Arecaceae.